This 497-nucleotide ribosomal RNA is filed under the name uncultured bacterium. RNAcentral describes it as "partial 16S ribosomal RNA". It matches the Rfam family "Bacterial small subunit ribosomal RNA", at positions 28 to 507 of the family's 1533-position model. The record is from RNAcentral.
GAUGAACGCUGGCGGCGUGCCUAAUACAUGCAAGUCGAGCGAACAGACGAGGAGCUUGCUCCUCUGACGUUAGCGGCGGACGGGUGAGUAACACGUGGAUAACCUACCUAUAAGACUGGGAUAACUUCGGGAAACCGGAGCUAAUACCGGAUAAUAUAUUGAACCGCAUGGUUCAAUAGUGAAAGACGGUUUUGCUGUCACUUAUAGAUGGAUCCGCGCCGCAUUAGCUAGUUGGUAAGGUAACGGCUUACCAAGGCAACGAUGCGUAGCCGACCUGAGAGGGUGAUCGGCCACACUGGAACUGGGACACGGUCCAGACUCCUACGGGAGGCAGCAGUAGGGAAUCUUCCGCAAUGGGCGAAAGCCUGACGGAGCAACGCCGCGUGAGUGAUGAAGGUCUUCGGAUCGUAAAACUCUGUUAUUAGGUAAGAACAAAUGUGUAAGUAACUAUGCACGUCUUGACGGUACCUAAUCAGAAAGCCACGGCUAACUACGUG